This 492-nucleotide ribosomal RNA is filed under the name uncultured bacterium. RNAcentral describes it as "partial 16S ribosomal RNA". It matches the Rfam family "Bacterial small subunit ribosomal RNA", at positions 28 to 507 of the family's 1533-position model. The record is from RNAcentral.
GAUGAACGCUAGCUACAGGCUUAACACAUGCAAGUCGAGGGGAAACGACAUCGAAAGCUUGCUUUUGAUGGGCGUCGACCGGCGCACGGGUGAGUAACGCGUAUCCAACCUGCCCAUCACUUGGGAAUAACCUUGCGAAAGUAAGACUAAUACCCAAUGAUAUCCCACGAAGACAUCUGAAUGGGAUUAAAGAUUUAUCGGUGAUGGAUGGGGAUGCGUCUGAUUAGCUUGUUGGCGGGGUAACGGCCCACCAAGGCAACGAUCAGUAGGGGUUCUGAGAGGAAGGUCCCCCACAUUGGAACUGAGACACGGUCCAAACUCCUACGGGAGGCAGCAGUGAGGAAUAUUGAUCAAUGGGCGAGAGCCUGAACCAGCCAAGUAGCGUGCAGGAUGACGGCCCUAUGGGUUGUAAACUGCUUUUAUAAGGGAAUAAAGUGGGUCUCGUGAGACUUUUUGCAUGUACCUUAUGAAUAAGGACCGGCUAAUUCCGUG